Molecule: ribosomal RNA, 897 nt
Filed under: uncultured bacterium
Lineage: Bacteria
Description: bacterial SSU rRNA
Rfam family: Bacterial small subunit ribosomal RNA
Source: RNAcentral
AGAGUUUGAUCCUGGCUCAGGAUGAACGCUAGCGGCAGGCUUAAUACAUGCAAGUCGAGGGGCAGCACAGGUAGCAAUACUGGGUGGCGACCGGCAAACGGGUGCGGAACACGUACACAACCUUCCUUUUAGUGGGGGAUAGCCCUGAGAAAUUUGGAUUAAUACCCCGUAAGAUGAUUUAGUGGCAUCACUAGAUUAUUAAAGCUCCGGCGCUAGAAGAUGGGUGUGCGUCUGACUAGGUAGUUGGUAGGGGUAACGGCCCACCAAGCCAACGAUCAGUAACUGGUGUGAGAGCACGACCAGUCACACGGGCACUGAGACACGGGCCCGACUCCUACGGGAGGCAGCAGUAAGGAAUAUUGGUCAAUGGACGCAAGUCUGAACCAGCCAUGCCGCGUGGAGGAUGAAGGUCCUCUGGAUUGUAAACUUCUUUUAUCUGGGAAGAAAUGCAUCUUUUCUAAGGUGUUUGACGGUACCAGAUGAAUAAGCACCGGCUAACUCCGUGCCAGCAGCCGCGGUAAUACGGAGGGUGCAAGCGUUAUCCGGAUUCACUGGGUUUAAAGGGUGCGUAGGUGGGCAGUUAAGUCAGUGGUGAAAUCUCCGGGCUCAACCCGGAAACUGCCAUUGAUACUAUCUGUCUUGAAUAUCGUGGAGGUAAGCGGAAUAUGUCAUGUAGCGGUGAAAUGCUUAGAUAUGACAUAGAACACCAAUUGCGAAGGCAGCUUACUACCCGAAUAUUGACACUGAGGCACGAAAGCGUGGGGAUCAAACAGGAUUAGAUACCCUGGUAGUCCACGCCCUAAACGAUGGAUACUCGACAUACGCGAUACACAGUGUGUGUCUGAGCGAAAGCAUUAAGUAUCCCACCUGGGAAGUACGACCGCAAGGUUGAAACUC